UUUUGAUUGUAUUCUUCAAACCCUCUUUUCUUUUCUGAAAAAGAAAAUUUCUUCUCUCUCGAAACCCUUGCCUUACCGAUCUAUUUCUUUGAGAUUUUGCAGAGAUCAAAGGAAGAAAGCAAGCAUGAAAAUUAAUGAGAAGAAAGAAGAAGAAGAGAGAAGCACAAUCAUGUACGUGUUUCGGCCUAACACAAGGCCUACGGCCACAGAAAGGGGAGAUCUUUUAUUUCUUGAAAAUUUAAACAGAGAUAAGUUUCUUACAAGUAUUUUGAUACAGAAAAAUGUAAAAGUCGUAAUAGAAUGUACAUGUAACUUCUAUUUAUAUGAGUACAUUUCUGUUAUAAAAGGACUAUUAAGAAACUAUUCGUUGGCUUCAAUUUGAGAUUAUUUUCUUUAAAUCAAACACCUUAAUCUCAACUCUGUAAAUCUUCUCCCUUCCAAAUCUAACCUCUGAUUAACCUUUUUCAGGUAGAACGAAGCCGAUAAGGUCAAGACACUUGCUGAGCUUGAGCUUCGGAACCGGCUUGGUAAGCAUGUCUGCAACAUUUUCAGAGGCCCACGAGAAGGAGCAGUCCAGCCCAAAACAAGUUGGUAGGUGAAAUGAAAGGCACACAGAGUGCCACACCUCUCGGCUUGGAAUGCAACAUGUGGAAACUCCACUAAUUCAAAACAAUGGGAGUGAUGAAGCUGCCUAAGACAAUUUUGAUGAGAUCAAAGGAAUAAAGCAAGCAUGAAAAUUAAUGAGAAGAAAGAAGAAGAAGAGAGAAGAACAAUCAUGUACAUGUUUCGGCCUAACACAAGGCCUACGGCCACAGAAAGGGGAGAUCUUUUAUUUCUUAAAGAUUUAAACAGAGAUAAGUUUCUUACAAGUAUUUUGAUACAGAAAAAUGUAAAAGUCAAAAUAGAAUGUACAUGUAACUUCUAUUUAUAAAAGGACUGUUAAGAAACUAGCCAUUAGCUUCAAUUUGAGAUUAUUUUCUUUAGUAUGCAUAGCUAGAUGUAGAAAGAUUUUCCUUUGCUGUGAUUAAUCAGGACAUCCAUAAAGCCAAUGUUCUAGGCACGAGUCCUUGUGAUGAAUGUGUGAAAACCAGUGCCUCUAGACAAAAGAAAUGAAAGUUUACGACCCUUAGAGUUUUUAUUCAAACACCUUAGUUGAUAUAUUACUUUCUUGAUUGUUAGGAUACUUGAGGUUGGCGGCUUGAGUUGGAGUAUGAGGGAAAACGAAUUGAGGGCCAUAUUAAGAUUUUCCAGGUCACAUAUGAAAGCAAGGGAGAAAAAGUUAUGUGUAGGACCCAUCAGGUGGUAGAACGAUCAAUUGUGGCGAAGGAAUAAUCAAACGGAUCAGAGGGGUCCACCGACAACUACAACAACCUAUGUGAAAAGCUAUCUGCUGCAUCUACUAUUGUCUUGAGUGGUAAAAUGGUUCCCAUGCCUAACCCUAUUUUUAUUGGACCUGAAAGAGAGAGCAUUGAUUCAAACAAACAAAGAGAUUUUCAGACUUAAUUCGGUGAGGAACAUUUCAUUCAUUCCCGAGGUGAUCUUCCUCGAGAACACUCGCUCCCAUGAUCACCGCCAGAGAAGAAAAGGUCAAGAGAGUCAUCAUCUCCUCAAGCUCACCGCAUUUGCCUCAUUGCACAACAACACCAUAACUUUAGCUCGACGGGAAGCAAGAGACUAUCGUCGCUGACUGAUUUUCACUCCAUUCAUCUUCUUGUCUUACUAUUCUGUUAAUAUAUUCUCUGUAUUUCUUGCUUAUAUCUUAUAACCAAUUAGUAUCGACACUUAAUACACGUCAUGAUUUCCAUCUUC
This is a long non-coding RNA of Benincasa hispida (wax gourd), 1809 nucleotides long. RefSeq lists it as uncharacterized. Lineage: Eukaryota; Viridiplantae; Streptophyta; Magnoliopsida; Cucurbitales; Cucurbitaceae. The record is from RefSeq and is a predicted model, not a curated record.